This 751-nucleotide ribosomal RNA is filed under the name Cantharellus sp. Tibuhwa 1070.2007. RNAcentral's name for it is "LSU rRNA". It matches the Rfam family "Eukaryotic large subunit ribosomal RNA", at positions 170 to 941 of the family's 3401-position model. The record is from RNAcentral. Lineage: Eukaryota; Fungi; Basidiomycota; Agaricomycetes; Cantharellales; Hydnaceae.
GCAUCCAGUCAAUAGGCCGUCAGUGGGACAUCAUAGAGGGUGACAAUCCCGUCCUUGAUGCCAAUGUACAAGUCCGUUACGAUGGCUAUCUCAGAGAGUCGAGCAGUUUGGGAUUUGCUGCUUAAACAUGGGAGGUAGAUUCCUUCUAAAGCUAAAUACAGGCGAGAGACCGAUAGAGAACAAGUACCGCAAGGGAAAGAUGAAAUAGAACUCUGUGAAGGGAGUCAAAAGGCGUGAAAUUGUUGCGAGAGAAGCGAUUCAAGUCAGCGUAGCUAAGGCCCAUCAAGCAAUAUCCGCUUUGGACUAGCUUUGCCAGCGGUCUUGUCCUAAAGACUUGACUUUGUUAUGUCCAGCCUGGUCUACACAGGCAGGCCCCUCCCUGUGGGGGCCAGUGGCAUGGCUGGUGGAAUGGCUUGCAAUCAACCCGUCUUGAAACACGGACCAAGGAGUCUAACAUGUAUGCGAGUAUAAGGGUGGCAAACCCGUAUGCGCAAUGAAAGUGAUUUUCGUCGAUUGAGAAUGGCCUGAUGACCAAACAAGCAAUAUAUGUCCCUCGUACGGCCAUUGCCCAAGUUCCCGGGUACUACCCAUGAACAUGGGAGUUGGGAGCAUACAUGCUAGGACCCCAAAGAUGGUGAACUAUGCCUGGGACAAAGCGAAACCCAAGGAAACUCUGGUGGAGGCUUGUAGCGAUUCUGACGUGCAAAUCGAUCGUCUGAUCUGGGUAUAGGGGCGAAAGACUAAUCNACCU